UUCGUUUUCUCCGGCCGACCGGCGGGAGAGAAAAAAAUGGCGAACAUGAGGACGGCGAUGGAUGCAGCAUUCUGGGACCUCAACAUUUCAACACCGAGAGCCCUAGACGGGACGGCUAGGUCCAUUCCAGGGGAGCCUAUACCACUUGAUAGAAGCACAGCUAGUAAAGCUCUCAGAAUCCAACAACUUUCUCUUCUCGGAAAUGGAUUUCCUCUCGGAAUCAUUCCCUCUUAUUCUCCAACUACCCGCAAGGAAUUGGGCUCUUUUGCUCUUCAGUCCCUUUUGUUUAAAGCUGCUACUUCUAACUGGUGGCUUGGAUUCACAGGUCAGUUUCGACCAAAAAAACUGGUAUCUGACAUUAAAGCUGAGUUGUCCAGUGUGGAUGAAUGGGAGCUGCCGAUACUAAAAGACAUUGGCAAGCAUUUCUUGGAGAAGUCACUUUAUGCCUUUGGUCUGUGCUCACAGCUAUCUCUGACACCCUCUUCUUCUCUGUUAUUGAGCACGGA
This 506-nucleotide unclassified non-coding RNA is filed under the name Hevea brasiliensis (rubber tree). The record is from RNAcentral. Lineage: Eukaryota; Viridiplantae; Streptophyta; Magnoliopsida; Malpighiales; Euphorbiaceae.